This 555-nucleotide ribosomal RNA is filed under the name uncultured bacterium. RNAcentral describes it as "bacterial SSU rRNA". It matches the Rfam family "Bacterial small subunit ribosomal RNA", at positions 339 to 906 of the family's 1533-position model. The record is from RNAcentral.
CUACGGGAGGCAGCAGUGGGGAAUUUUCCGCAAUGGGCGAAAGCCUGACGGAGCAAUACCGCGUGAGGGAAGAAUGCCUAUGGGUUGUAAACCUCUUUUUUCAGGGAGGAAUAAAAUGACGUGUACCUGAAGAAUAAGCACCGGCUAACUCCGUGCCAGCAGCCGCGGUAAGACGGAGGAUGCAAGUGUUAUCCGGAAUCACUGGGCGUAAAGCGUCUGUAGGUGGUUUAAUAAGUCAACUGUUAAAUCUUGAGGCUCAACUUCAAAAUCGCAGUCGAAACUAUUAGACUAGAGUAUAGUAGAGGUAAAGGGAAUUUCCAGUGGAGCGGUGAAAUGCGUAGAGAUUGGAAAGAACACCGAUGGCGAAAGCACUUUACUGGGCUAUUACUAACACUCAGAGACGAAAGCUAGGGUAGCAAAUGGGAUUAGAUACCCCAGUAGUCCUAGCUGUAAACAAUGGAUACUAGAUGUUGAACAGAUCGACCUGUGCAGUAUCAAAGCUAACGCGUUAAGUAUCCCGCCUGGGAAGUAUGCUCGCAAGAGUGAAACUCAAAG